Molecule: ribosomal RNA, 623 nt
Filed under: Lactococcus lactis
Lineage: Bacteria; Bacillati; Bacillota; Bacilli; Lactobacillales; Streptococcaceae
Description: bacterial SSU rRNA
Rfam family: Bacterial small subunit ribosomal RNA
Source: RNAcentral
UUGGUACUUGUACCGACUGGAUGAGCAGCGAACGGGUGAGUAACGCGUGGGGAAUCUGCCUUUGAGCGGGGGACAACAUUUGGAAACGAAUGCUAAUACCGCAUAAAAACUUUAAACACAAGUUUUAAGUUUGAAAGAUGCAAUUGCAUCACUCAAAGAUGAUCCCGCGUUGUAUUAGCUAGUUGGUGAGGUAAAGGCUCACCAAGGCGAUGAUACAUAGCCGACCUGAGAGGGUGAUCGGCCACAUUGGGACUGAGACACGGCCCAAACUCCUACGGGAGGCAGCAGUAGGGAAUCUUCGGCAAUGGACGAAAGUCUGACCGAGCAACGCCGCGUGAGUGAAGAAGGUUUUCGGAUCGUAAAACUCUGUUGGUAGAGAAGAACGUUGGUGAGAGUGGAAAGCUCAUCAAGUGACGGUAACUACCCAGAAAGGGACGGCUAACUACGUGCCAGCAGCCGCGGUAAUACGUAGGUCCCGAGCGUUGUCCGGAUUUAUUGGGCGUAAAGCGAGCGCAGGUGGUUUAUUAAGUCUGGUGUAAAAGGCAGUGGCUCAACCAUUGUAUGCAUUGGAAACUGGUAGACUUGAGUGCAGGAGAGGAGAGUGGAACUCCAUGUGUAGCGGU